This 1252-nucleotide long non-coding RNA is filed under the name Oreochromis niloticus (Nile tilapia). RNAcentral describes it as "lncRNA (ENSONIG00000039338.1)". The record is from RNAcentral. Lineage: Eukaryota; Metazoa; Chordata; Actinopteri; Cichliformes; Cichlidae.
GUCCCUGCUGUGACUACAGUAUCAACCCUGGUCCCACUGUGGAUCUUUCUUGAAGCCCCUGGAUGACUCCCACAGUGGAGGAGGGGCCCUUUGUCACAGUGGAUGACCCAGCACUGGCUCCUGCACCUGGACUCUGGACCCUGCUCCAGGUCAUCCACACCCACACAAACUCCACAGGAGUCUGCUGCUGGACGCUGUCAGGCCCAUGAAGCUCUGCUGUAAAGGCUUCCAUGUCCCAGGCUUCACCUUUACCUGCUGACCAAUGGGAGGCGUGGCCAAAACACAGAUGGCGAGUGGAGCAGCAGGUAGGAGAGGGCUCUGAGACCUGGACAUCACCUGGAGGAUGACCACCUUGUGCCUGAACUGGCUCACAUCCAUCCCAGUGAGAGCCCAGACUGGGAGGAAACCAUCAGUGCCAUGGUGGCAAGUACCUCAGUCGGGUCGUCUAUGUUGCUGCGCCGUCCACGCGUAGCAUCAUGUCAACAAAAGUCGGGAGAAAGCGUCAGAGUCCAAUUUGGGAUUACUUUGAAUAUGACUAUGUUUUGGAUAAAGCAAGUGUCUUGUAGUGGAAAGAGACAAAUUAUGAGGGACAUUUCUAAAGGGAAAGAAAUCCCACAAACCUUAAAAUGCACUUGAAAAGCUCACACAAGAAGGCUAACCUAGCUUACCUGGAGAAGGUAAGGGAGCACGCCCAACCCUCAUCCCCAGAAACAGAAGCUAACACAGGCAAGGCAGCGUGAUGCAUCCCGAGACAACAGGACUGGGAUAUCUACAUAACUGUGUGAGUCAAUUGCCUUCAAAAAGUUUAUCAAUUCACUUGGACCAAAAUUACGAACACCCGGUGCUGCAAGAGUUAAUAGUCUCAUUGGGGCCAAGAUAUACAUUUUAUAGUUGCCUGGUAUCAAUGGUUGUUCAUCUGCCUUUAUUUAUUUAUUUAAAGAACCCAUAGGUGGGAAUGUGAGUUGUCUGUCUCUGCAUGUUAGCCCUGCGACAGACAGGCGACCUGUCCAGGGCGCAGGGUAUGGUAGCUGGAAUAGCAACAUACCCAAGGAUAAGCAGAAGAGAAUGACUGAUAUGAUGAAACUGGGAUUUUGUUACACUUUAUUGCAAACACAACUAAAACUAUAACUGAAACUAAUCAAAACUAAACUGAAACUAAGGAUUUUCAAAAAAAUAAAAACUAAACUAAACUAGCAAACAAUUGGUAAAAACUAAUUAAAACUAAUAUAAAAUUGAAAAUCUGAAGUCAAAA